Molecule: ribosomal RNA, 391 nt
Filed under: uncultured bacterium
Lineage: Bacteria
Description: bacterial SSU rRNA
Rfam family: Bacterial small subunit ribosomal RNA
Source: RNAcentral
GACGAACGCUGGCGGCGUGCUUAACACAUGCAAGUCGAGCGGUAAGGCCCUUUCGGGGGUACACGAGCGGCGAACGGGUGAGUAACACGUGGGUGACCUGCCCUCAGCUCUGGGAUAAGCCUGGGAAACCGGGUCUAAUACUGGAUAUGACUCCAUGACGCAUGUUGUGGGGUGGAAAGCCCUGUGCGGCUGAGGAUGGGCCCGCGGCCUAUCAGCUUGUUGGUGGGGUGANGGCCUACCAAGGCGACGACGGGUAGCCGGCCUGAGAGGGCGACCGGCCACACUGGGACUGAGACACGGCCCAGACUCCUACGGGAGGCAGCAGUGGGGAAUCUUGCGCAAUGGGCGAAAGCCUGACGCAGCGACGCCGCGUGAGGGAUGACGGCCUGGU